Molecule: long non-coding RNA, 474 nt
Organism: Tachyglossus aculeatus (Australian echidna)
Lineage: Eukaryota; Metazoa; Chordata; Mammalia; Monotremata; Tachyglossidae
Exons: 6
Source: RefSeq, a predicted model, not a curated record
UCCCCCAUGCAGGAGCGCUCGGAGUAGUCCGGGGCCGGCAGGUACUUCUGCAAGAGGUUGUCGAACUCGUCCAGCGCUCCGCACACAUCCCCCAUGCAGGAGCGCACGGAGUAGUCUUGGGCGGGAAGGUACUUCUGCAAGAGGCUGUGGAACUCGUCCAGUGCUCUGCACACAUUCCCUACGCAGGAGCGCACGGAGUAGUCUGGGGCCGGCAAGUACUUCUGCAAGAGGCUGUGGAACUCGUCCAGUGCUCUGCACACAUCCCCUAUGCAGGAGCGCACGGAGUAGUCUGGGGCCGGCAAGUACUUCUGCAAGAGGCUGUGGAACUCGUCCAGUGCUCUGCACACAUCCCCUAUGCAGGAGCGCACGGAGUAGUCUGGGGCCGGCAAGUACUUCUGCAAGAGGCUGUGGAACUCGUCCAGUGCUCUGCACACAUCCCCCUACGCGGGAGCGCACGGAGUAGUCUGGGGCCGG